Molecule: non-coding RNA, 1467 nt
Organism: Sus scrofa (pig)
Lineage: Eukaryota; Metazoa; Chordata; Mammalia; Artiodactyla; Suidae
Source: RefSeq, a predicted model, not a curated record
CUUUGUCCUCUGGAGGCUCUUCCUGUCCUUCCACGCUGGCAUCCAUGUCCUCAGCGUUGUCUGGCGCGGGCACGUCCCCUGAGCACAAGUCUGGAGAUGGGGGGCCAAGGAGCUAAGGAAAGUGGCGCCUCGAGAAAUUGGAAAAGGAAACAGAUUCUCCCCUGGAGGCUCCAGAAGGAACACAGCCCUGCCGACACCUUGUGUUGAGCCCAGCAAGACUACAUCUGACUUCUGACCUCCAGAACUGUGAUCAGCCAGGACUCACUUGAAGAAAAUGUACACAGCGGCUCGGCAGAGAAGGGGCGGGGACAAAGAGGACAGGAUGGAACGUACCCGCUUAUCUCCUGCCCGGCCUACAGCGCUCCCGGGUGUCAGGGUGGGACCAGAAAAGGGAAAGGGACACAGCAGUGGCGGCACGCCGCCCUCCCACUUCAAACACUGUCACCUCCUCUCCUGCCGCUGAGACCCAGAGAUGGUGAAUGGCCAAGGUGACAUGGGGGCGAAGCCUCGAAAAUCAGUUUGCCUAAACCGAUGAAAUGUGUUUUAUAUCUAAAGUGGGUUUGGAUGUUGGCAAACAUAGAUGCACUGUAAACCGAUUGGUUUAGCAUUUCCCAAACUCCACUUUCAUAAUGGCUUCACCAUUCUUGUCACAUUCGCAAGUGACCUGUCUGUCAGGGCUGGGUGGUGGGCGCACUAUGCCCCAGGGGCAGAAGGUAAAAGCAGUCACGACACAACCACAGGCAGGCUCUUCUGGUUAUGGGCUGAACUGCCAUCCCCCACGCCCUGCAAAUCCAUAGGCUCAAGUCCUGACCCCCAGCAUCUCAGGAUGUGACUGUAUCUGGAGACGGGGUCUUUGAAGAGGCCGUUAAGAUUAAAUGACAUCACCCAGGUCAGCCCUGGUCCAACAGACUAGUGUCUGGUGAGAAGAGGCGAUGAGGACACAGAGGCACCUGCUGAGGACACAGGUGGGAAGGUGGAUGUCUCCGUGUCAAGGACACAGGCCUCAGGAGAAACCAGCUCUGCUGACACCUUGAUCUCGGACUUCGAGGCUCCAGAAUAAAGAGAAAAUAAAUUUUUAUUGUUUAAACCACCCAAUCGGUGGUACUUUGUUAUGGCAGCCAAGCCAAAAAAAAUAUUAUAAAAUAUAAUAUAAAAGUGCUAUAAUGCAGUAUUAUACCAUGUGCUGGUGAUAAUACAAAUUCUAAAUUAGUCCUUCUUGACAGUUUGCUCUGCAGAUUAUUCUUGAACUGGGAUGUGCUUACUAUUUUUUCAUAAACUAACUCAAUUUUUCCUUACUUAACCAUACUCUAAACAGUAAACAGUGAACUCAGGGCUUUUAUAUGCUAUUUUGAAUGUUUUUUCCUAGUACCCAUGACAAUACGUACACACUGAAAAGCCAGGAAGCCAUCAAAAGCUACUGAAGGAGUUCCCGUGGUGGUGCAGGGAAAACGAAUCUGACUAGGAACC